This is a long non-coding RNA of Ictalurus punctatus (channel catfish), 1387 nucleotides long. Lineage: Eukaryota; Metazoa; Chordata; Actinopteri; Siluriformes; Ictaluridae. The record is from Ensembl.
UAGGGUUUCAAUCAAUCUGUAAUAGUAAUAAUAAUUUUUUUUUUAAUUCCAAUAAAACAAGAUCCUGAGAUUAGUGUUUGUCUAUGUCUAUAAUAUACUAUAUAUCUAAUAUAAUAUUUAAAAAAAAUUAAAUGCAGAGAUUUGAAAUGAGGAGAUGUUUUGAAAUCAUAUUCCGCAAAAAUAAAGGUUCCUAAGCUAAUAGGGGACUAAAAACACAUUAAACCUGUCCUCAGACUAGUUGGGUUUUUUUUUUUUUUACGCAGUUCAGGUUCUGUACAGAUUUCCUGGAAUUGUUUUUUUACAUUGGAAAGAGUGUCAACACAGAUGUGUUGCCUCACUAGCACAAACAGACAGGACUAUAAAGGUCCUGCAAGAGUCCUGUUUGUCAUUCAGGACAAGGAACUGGCAUGGCUCCCCCGAUAAGCAGUUUCGCUCUGGCUCUUCUGAGUGUCCAGUCUUUUUUCAGCACUGAUAUACCCUGUGAGAAAAUCACAAAGCCUCUGGUACUCAGUGGCAACUACAGCUCAUAUAGGGAAAGAAUGUACGCUUAGAGAUCCUGUGGAAUUCCCUGUUCAAAAUAAUGCUGUGCAUGACACUGGCACUGAUGAAAUUUACCAGUACUACUUAUUACCAUCCUGUUCCAACUGUCUCACUGGAUACUACAGCCAGGAUAAUGGAGAGUACCCCACCAGAGUACUUAUGCUGUUCUCCAAGGAACGCACAGUUUCAAGAAGAGCAAGGAAACUGUACCGAAAGCAGGUCAAGUGUAUGGGAUUUCCUGAACAAACUUUUAAAGUCUACGAUAAACCAGAAUUGUGUCCGAUGGAAGAAUGAAAACACUUCUCAUCGCCACGUUACAGUGAUUCUUUCUAUCGAUAUCAAUUCCUGUCUGUUUUGACCUGUUCAACCUGAUUAAUGUGUGUUAGAAAUAAAGUGCUCAGAAAUCUGUACACCCGAACCCGAUUCAAAUAUAUUAUACUGUCAGAUUAACUUUCACAGAUUGGGAUUAGCACCUCUACUGUCUGAUUAACACGUAUUGUGUUGAAUUAUGUGUUCUUGUUGAAAUAAAGUGCAUUCACUCUGUCUUGGGGGGUUUUAGACUAGCUAGUUCUUCCUUUCGGACCCUGGGGUUGGCUAGUAAUUCUAAUUAAAUGCGUUUUUUUGCUAAUUCUAUGCUACAUUCUGUGUUAAUCGUAUGCUUAAAACAACAACAAACCAAAAAAUACCUUUUAAGUUCAACCCUAUUACUUAUUUUAACAGGGAAUUUCAGCCAGUGUUGACAAAGACACGUUGUUAAAACACCAGAGCUUAAUGACACCACAAGCAUGAAACCACACUUACAUUAAAUGUGUCUGUGUGUAUCUAUCUAUAUAUAUAUAUACACACA